AUAUUGGAGGGCAAGUCUGGUGCCAGCAGCCGCGGUAAUUCCAGCUCCNAUAGCGUAUAUUAAAGUUGCUGCGGUUAAAAAGCUCGUAGUUGGAUUUCAGUCCAACCUAUGGGGUCCAUCGAUAAAGGGUUAGUAGGCAGGGAUGGAUCUUUCUGGUGCUCGCAUCGGAUUGAUUCUUCACUCUUCUGGCCUGAUGGCUACUCUUAUAGUGUUGAGACAGAAACUGCCCGAUAUUUGCUAUCAAUGCUCUUCAUUGAGUGUUGAUUCAAGCGAUCGGGACUUUUACCUUGAAAAAAUCAGAGUGCUCAAAGCAGGCGUCCAAAACCUCGAAAGAGGUGCCUAAAAACGGUAUGGUCAACCAUCGAAAGAUGUGCACCACUACCUUAACUUGAAUGAUCUUGCAUGGAAUAAUAGAAUAGGACCUUGGUUCUAUUUUGUUGGUCUUAAGAAUCCAAGGUAAUGAUUAAGAGGGACAGACGGGGGCAUUUGUAUUGCGGCGCUAGAGGUGAAAUUCUUGGACCGUCGCAAGACAAACUACAGCGAAAGCAUUUGCCAAGAAUGUUUUCAUUAAUCAAGAACGAAAGUUAGAGGUUCGAAGGCGAUCAGAUACCGCCCUAGUUCUAACCAUAAACGAUGCCAA
RNAcentral lists this ribosomal RNA (640 nucleotides) under Tetranychus sp. KG-2006. RNAcentral's name for it is "bacterial SSU rRNA". It matches the Rfam family "Eukaryotic small subunit ribosomal RNA", at positions 545 to 1045 of the family's 1831-position model. The record is from RNAcentral. Lineage: Eukaryota; Metazoa; Arthropoda; Arachnida; Trombidiformes; Tetranychidae.